RNAcentral lists this unclassified non-coding RNA (27 nucleotides) under Mus musculus (house mouse). RNAcentral's name for it is "oocyte_clustered_small_RNA9119". The record is from RNAcentral. Lineage: Eukaryota; Metazoa; Chordata; Mammalia; Rodentia; Muridae.
UAAGUGAGAAAUUUCAGCUUUACUGGG